ACCCGCUGAACUUAAGCAUAUCAAUAAGCGGAGGAAAAGAAACCAACAGGGAUUGCCCCAGUAACGGCGAGUGAAGCGGCAACAGCUCAAAUUUGAAAUCUGGUUUCACGGCCCGAGUUGUAAUUUGCAGAGGAUGCUUUUGGCGCGGCGCCUUCCGAGUGCCCUGGAACGGGACGCCAUAGAGGGUGAGAGCCCCGUCUGGUUGGAUGCCUAGCCUCUGUAAAGCUCCUUCGACGAGUCGAGUAGUUUGGGAAUGCUGCUCAAAAUGGGAGGUAUAUGUCUUCUAAAGCUAAAUAUUGGCCAGAGACCGAUAGCGCACAAGUAGAGUGAUCGAAAGAUGAAAAGCACUUUGAAAAGAGGGUUAAAUAGUACGUGAAAUUGUUGAAAGGGAAGCGCUUGUGACCAGACUUGGGCUUGGUGAAUCAUCCGGCGUUCUCGCCGGUGCACUUUGCCUGUCCAGGCCAGCAUCAGUUCGCUCCGGGGGAUAAAGGCGUGGGGAAUGUGGCUCCUCCGGGAGUGUUAUAGCCCCGCGUGUAAUACCCUGUGGCGGACUGAGGUUCGCGCUCCGCAAGGAUGCUGGCGUAAUGGUCAUCAGCGACCCGUCUUGAAACACGG
This 615-nucleotide ribosomal RNA is filed under the name uncultured fungus. RNAcentral's name for it is "eukaryotic LSU rRNA". It matches the Rfam family "Eukaryotic large subunit ribosomal RNA", at positions 23 to 664 of the family's 3401-position model. The record is from RNAcentral. Lineage: Eukaryota; Fungi.